Molecule: ribosomal RNA, 486 nt
Filed under: uncultured bacterium
Lineage: Bacteria
Description: partial 16S ribosomal RNA
Rfam family: Bacterial small subunit ribosomal RNA
Source: RNAcentral
AUUGAACGCUGGCGGCAUGCCUUACACAUGCAAGUCGAACGGCAGCACGGGUGCUUGCACCUGGUGGCGAGUGGCGAACGGGUGAGUAAUACAUCGGAACAUGUCCUGUAGUGGGGGAUAGCCCGGCGAAAGCCGGAUUAAUACCGCAUACGAUCUACGGAUGAAAGCGGGGGACCUUCGGGCCUCGCGCUAUAGGGUUGGCCGAUGGCUGAUUAGCUAGUUGGUGGGGUAAAGGCCUACCAAGGCGACGAUCAGUAGCUGGUCUGAGAGGACGGCCAGCCACACUGGGACUGAGACACGGCCCAGGCUCCUACGGGAGGCAGCAGUGGGGAAUUUUGGACAAUGGGCGAAAGCCUGAUCCAGCAAUGCCGCGUGUGUGAAGAAGGCCUUCGGGUUGUAAAGCACUUUUGUCCGGAAAGAAAUCCUUGGCCCUAAUACGGUCGGGGGAUGACGGUACCGGAAGAAUAAGCACCGGCUAACUACGUG